CCCUUAGAUGUUCUGGGCCGCACGCGCGCUACACUGAUGCAUUCAACGAGUCUAAAACCUGCUCUGAUAGGGGUGGGUAAUCUUUUGAAUGUGCAUCGUGAUUGGGAUAGAUGAUUGCAAUUUUUCAUCUUCAACGAGGAAUGCCUAGUAAACGCAAGUCAUCAGCUUGCAUUGAUUACGUCCCUGCCCUUUGUACACACCGCCCGUCGCUCCUACCGAUUGAAUGAUCCGAUGAAUAUCAUGGAUUGAUGAUGCAAGUAGGUUAGCCUAUCUUCAUCUUCGAGAAGUGAAGUAAAUCUUAUCAUUUAGAGGAAGGAGAAGUCGUAACA
This 329-nucleotide ribosomal RNA is filed under the name uncultured eukaryote. Its description in RNAcentral is "partial 18S ribosomal RNA". It matches the Rfam family "Eukaryotic small subunit ribosomal RNA", at positions 1470 to 1796 of the family's 1831-position model. The record is from RNAcentral.